GGGUUGUGAGGUUAAGCGAAUAAGCGUACACGGUGGAUGCCUAGGCAAUCAGAGGCGAUGAAGGACGUGCUAAUCUGCGAAAAGCGUCGGUAAGGUGAUAUGAACCGUUAUACCCGACGAUAUCCGAAUGGGGAAACCCAGUAUCCAAUGGAUACUAUCAUUAACUGAAUCCAUAGGUUAAUGAGGCGAACCGGGAGAACUGAAACAUCUCAGUACCCCGAGGAAAAGAAAUCAACCGAGAUUCCCCUAGUAGCGGCGAGCGAACGGGGAGCAGCCCAGAGUCUUAAUCAAUAGCAGUGUCAGGAGAACGGUCUGGAAAGUCCGGCAGUAAAGGGUGAUAGCCCCGUAUCUGAAGAUGCUGUUAUUGUGAACUCGACGAGUAGGGCGGGACACGUGUUAUCCUGUCUGAAUAUGGGGGGACCAUCCUCCAAGGCUAAAUACUCCUGAUUGACCGAUAGUGAACCAGUACCGUGAGGGAAAGGCGAAAAGAACCCCGGCGAGGGGAGUGAAAAAGAACCUGAAACCGUGUACGUACAAGCAGUAGGAGCCUCUUUAUGGGGUGACUGCGUACCUUUUGUAUAAUGGGUCAGCGACUUAUAUUCUGUAGCAAGGUUAACCGUAUAGGGGAGCCGUAGGGAAACCGAGUCUUAACUGGGCGAAUGAGUUGCAGGGUAUAGACCCGAAACCCGGUGAUCUAUCCAUGGGCAGGUUGAAGGUUGGGUAACACUAACUGGAGGACCGAACCGACUAAUGUUGAAAAAUUAGCGGAUGACUUGUGGAUGGGGGUGAAAGGCCAAUCAAACCGGGAGAUAGCUGGUUCUCCCCGAAAGCUAUUUAGGUAGCGCCUCGUGAAUUCAUCUUCGGGGGUAGAGCACUGUUUCGACUAGGGGGUCAUCCCGACUUACCAACUCGAUGCAAACUGCGAAUACCGAAGAAUGUUAUCACGGGAGACACACGGCGGGUGCUAACGUCCGUCGUGAAGAGGGAAACAACCCAGACCGCCAGCUAAGGUCCCAAAGUCAUGGUUAAGUGGGAAACGAAGUGGGAAGGCUCAGACAGCCAGGAUGUUGGCUUAGAAGCAGCCAUCAUUUAAAGAAAGCGUAAUAGCUCACUGGUCGAGUCGGCCCGCGCGGAAGAUGUAACGGGGCUAAACCAUGCACCGAAGCUGCGGCAGCGACACAAAGUGUUGUUGGGUAGGGGAGCGUUCUGUAAGCCUGCGAAGGUGUACUGUGAGGUAUGCUGGAGGUAUCAGAAGUGCGAAUGCUGACAUAAGUAACGAUAAUGCGGGUGAAAAACCCGCACGCCGGAAGACCAAGGGUUCCUGUCCAACGUUAAUCGGGGCAGGGUGAGUCGACCCCUAAGGCGAGGCUGAAAAGCGUAGUCGAUGGGAAACGGGUUAAUAUUCCCGUACUGGUGGUAACUGCGAUGGGGGAACGGAGAAGGCUAGGUUGUCCGGGCGACGGUCGUCCCGGUUCAAGCAGGUAGGCAGAGUGAUUAGGCAAAUCCGGUCACUUAAUGCUGAGAUGUGAUGACGAACCACCAAGGUGGUGAAGCAAUUGAUGCCCCGCUUCCAGGAAAAGCCUCUAAGCUUCAGGUUACCAACAAUCGUACCCCAAACCGACACAGGUGGUCAGGUAGAGAAUACUCAGGCGCUUGAGAGAACUCGGGUGAAGGAACUAGGCAAAAUGGUGCCGUAACUUCGGGAGAAGGCACGCUGGCGGUAGGUAAAGUCCCUUGCGGACGGCGCUGAAGCCAGUCGAAGAUACCAGCUGGCUGCAACUGUUUAUUAAAAACACAGCACUGUGCAAACACGAAAGUGGACGUAUACGGUGUGACGCCUGCCCGGUGCUGGAAGGUUAAUUGAUGGGGUCAGCCGCAAGGCGAAGCUCCUGAUCGAAGCCCCAGUAAACGGCGGCCGUAACUAUAACGGUCCUAAGGUAGCGAAAUUCCUUGUCGGGUAAGUUCCGACCUGCACGAAUGGCGUAAUGAUGGCCAGGCUGUCUCCACCCGAGACUCAGUGAAAUUGAACUCGCUGUGAAGAUGCAGUGUACCCGCGGCAAGACGGAAAGACCCCGUGAACCUUUACUAUAGCUUGACACUGAACAUUGAGCCUUGAUGUGUAGGAUAGGUGGGAGGCUUUGAAGUGUGGACGCCAGUCUGCAUGGAGCCAACCUUGAAAUACCACCCUUUAACGUUUGAUGUUCUAACCUAGGCCCAUAAACUGGGUCGGGGACCGUGUCUGGUGGGUAGUUUGACUGGGGCGGUCUCCUCCUAAAGAGUAACGGAGGAGCACGAAGGUUGGCUAAGCAUGGUCGGACAUCAUGCGGUUAGUGCAAAGGCAUAAGCCAGCUUGACUGCGAGAGUGACGGCUCGAGCAGGUACGAAAGUAGGUCUUAGUGAUCCGGUGGUUCUGAAUGGAAGGGCCAUCGCUCAACGGAUAAAAGGUACUCCGGGGAUAACAGGCUGAUACCGCCCAAGAGUUCAUAUCGACGGCGGUGUUUGGCACCUCGAUGUCGGCUCAUCACAUCCUGGGGCUGAAGUAGGUCCCAAGGGUAUGGCUGUUCGCCAUUUAAAGUGGUACGCGAGCUGGGUUUAGAACGUCGUGAGACAGUUCGGUCCCUAUCUGCCGUGGGCGUUGGAAGAUUGAGAGGGGUUGCUCCUAGUACGAGAGGACCGGAGUGAACGCACCACUGGUGUUCGGGUUGUCAUGCCAAUGGCAUUGCCCGGUAGCUAAGUGCGGAAGAGAUAACCGCUGAAAGCAUCUAAGCGGGAAACUUGCCUCGAGAUGAGUCUUCCCUGUCACUUUAAGUGACCUAAAGGAACGUUUAAGACUAAGACGUUGAUAGGCUGGGUGUGUAAGCGUAGCGAUACGUUGAGCUAACCAGUACUAAUGAACCGUGAGGCUUAACCUGACAACACCGAAAGUGUUUUG
This 2932-nucleotide ribosomal RNA is filed under the name Proteus mirabilis. Its description in RNAcentral is "bacterial LSU rRNA". It matches the Rfam family "Bacterial large subunit ribosomal RNA". Lineage: Bacteria; Pseudomonadati; Pseudomonadota; Gammaproteobacteria; Enterobacterales; Morganellaceae. The record is from RNAcentral.